UACGUAGGUGGCUAGCGUUGUCCGGAUUUACUGGGCGUAAAGAGCCCGCAGGCGGCCUGGCAAGUUUCAGGUGAAAUCUCCCGGCUCAACUGGGAGGGUGCUUGGAAAACUGCCAGGCUUGAGGCAGGGAGAGGGAUGCGGAAUUCCCGGUGUAGCGGUGAAAUGCGCAGAUAUCAGGAAGAACACCCGUGGCGAAGGCGGCUCUCUGGGACGGUACUGACGCUGAGACGCGAAAGCGUGGGGAGCGAACAGG
This 253-nucleotide ribosomal RNA is filed under the name uncultured bacterium. RNAcentral's name for it is "partial 16S ribosomal RNA". It matches the Rfam family "Bacterial small subunit ribosomal RNA", at positions 524 to 776 of the family's 1533-position model. The record is from RNAcentral.